RNAcentral lists this ribosomal RNA (375 nucleotides) under uncultured organism. RNAcentral's name for it is "partial 16S ribosomal RNA". It matches the Rfam family "Bacterial small subunit ribosomal RNA", at positions 527 to 896 of the family's 1533-position model. The record is from RNAcentral.
GGAGGGUGCAAGCGUUGUUCGGAAUUAUUGGGCGUAAAGAGCGUGUAGGCGGUUCGGUAAGUCAGAUGUGAAAGCCCUGGGCUCAACCCAGGAAGUGCAUUUGAAACUACCGGACUUGAGUACGGGAGAGGAGGGGGGAAUUCCCGGUGUAGAGGUGAAAUUCGUAGAUAUCGGGAGGAAUACCAGUGGCGAAGGCGCCCCUCUGGACCGAUACUGACGCUGAGACGCGAAAGCGUGGGGAGCAAACAGGAUUAGAUACCCUGGGUAGUCCACGCCGUAAACGAUGAGCACUAGGUGUAGCGGGUAUUGACCCCCCUGCUGUGCCGUAGCUAACGCAUUAAGUGCUCCGCCUGGGGGACUACGGUCGCAAGACUA